Molecule: ribosomal RNA, 253 nt
Filed under: uncultured bacterium
Lineage: Bacteria
Description: partial 16S ribosomal RNA
Rfam family: Bacterial small subunit ribosomal RNA
Source: RNAcentral
UACGGAGGGAGCUAGCGUUGUUCGGAAUUACUGGGCGUAAAGCGCACGUAGGCGGCUUUGUAAGUCAGAGGUGAAAGCCUGGAGCUCAACUCCAGAACCGCCUUUGAGACUGCAUCGCUUGAAUCCAGGAGAGGUGAGUGGAAUUCCGAGUGUAGAGGUGAAAUUCGUAGAUAUUCGGAAGAACACCAGUGGCGAAGGCGGCUCACUGGACUGGUAUUGACGCUGAGGUGCGAAAGCGUGGGGAGCAAACAGG